UACGUACCGUCCAAACGUUACUCGGACUCACUGGGCUUAAAGGGUGCGUAGGCCGCGCGGAGGGUUGGAUGUGAAAUCCCCCGGCUCAACCGGGGAAUAGCGUCCCAAACCGCCGUGCUCGAGGGAGACAGAGGUGAGCGGAACUGAUGGUGGAGCGGUGAAAUGCGUUGAUAUCAUCAGGAACACCAGUGGCGAAGGCGGCUCACUGGGUCUUUCCUAACGCUGAGGCACGAAAGCUAGGGGAGCGAACGGU
RNAcentral lists this ribosomal RNA (253 nucleotides) under uncultured bacterium. Its description in RNAcentral is "partial 16S ribosomal RNA". It matches the Rfam family "Bacterial small subunit ribosomal RNA", at positions 524 to 776 of the family's 1533-position model. The record is from RNAcentral.